This 388-nucleotide long non-coding RNA is filed under the name Pongo abelii (Sumatran orangutan). RNAcentral describes it as "lincRNA". Lineage: Eukaryota; Metazoa; Chordata; Mammalia; Primates; Hominidae. The record is from RNAcentral.
UUCUGAGUUCUGGCAUUAGUUCUGUUUUCAAAGUAAUGACCAGCACUCCAAGCCUAGAUAGCCUUGCUGGAGAACUCUCCACCUGGAGCCCUGCCCAUCAGCCCUGCGGGACUUCCUUCAGCUCCUCUGUGGAUAAAGUCGCCAGGACUUCACUUUGUGCUACUGCAAGUGCAUCAAAACCAAUAUUGUGUCUUUAGCAUUCGAAUCCAUGAACUUCUGAAAGAGAAACCAAAAAGCCGUGUCAGGUAUGGUUGGAGCCCGCAUUUUCAUUUGGGAGCAGAAGCAUGUCACAUAGUCUUCUAAAAAGAGAAAUUUUGCUUAAAAAUGACACAACAAAAUAAAAUGCUGACUAAGUCAUGGUAAGAAGUAGUCUUUGAAUUUGAAUAAA